AAGUCGUAACAAGGUCUCCGUAGGUGAACCUGCGGAGGGAUCAUUAUUGAAUUUCCUUUGCCCUCGUGGCAAAGUCCCUUUCAAACACCUGUGAACCGGGCUUCGGCCAUAUCUUUUUUAAACAACGUAUCAAGAAAGUCUGUUUGGAAACUCUUCUGGGGUGACCUACAAAAAGUAAAUAAAAUACAACUUUUAGCAACGGAUCUCUUGGCUCUC
This 216-nucleotide unclassified non-coding RNA is filed under the name fungal sp. RNAcentral describes it as "partial internal transcribed spacer region". The stretch from base 1 to 46 matches the Rfam family "Eukaryotic small subunit ribosomal RNA", at positions 1786 to 1831 of the family's 1831-position model. Lineage: Eukaryota; Fungi. The record is from RNAcentral.